CAUCAUCUUCAAGGGCUGUUCUUGUUUUCGUUAUUUCUAGUUUUUCUUCCAGUUUUUCUUUUAUUUCGGUUACUAGGGUCACUCUUUGUGUGGAAAAGUUGAAGCAUUUCAAUACUAUGUGCGUCAGGUAAACCAAGAUCAUGUAAAAUUUUAAUCAGCUGUAUAAAAUCAACAUUGUCGUAGGCUCAUUGGACAUCCAAAAAGACACACACUGCAGUGGAUUUAGGUAGCUGGCAACUCUUCAUAUCAUUAAGGAAUGUUAUCAAACUUUCAGCUGUACUCCUACCUUUACGGAAACCAAAUUGACAAGGGGGUAAUAGUUUAUUUGUCUCUACAAAAAAAAUCUAAUCUUACUUUGAUCAUGUGUUCUAGUAAUUUACCAAUGCAUGAUGUUAAGAAAUUGGCCUAUAAGACUUAUAAUCAUCUGGUGGUUUAUCAGGUUUUAAAAUAGGUACUACACACUGAGUUUUCCAUGAUUCAGGUAUUUGUUGACUAAGCCAGAGAGAAUUGAGAAUAUCAAGUAAUUUGUUUUUCACUGAAAUAUGCAAUUUCUGUAACAUGAUAUAUGGGAUGUCAUCUAAACCAGGCGCUGUGGAUUUUUUGAUGUCAGAGCUAUAUCUAGUUCAUGAAACAUAAAUGGUUUCAAUAAAAAUUAUUGUUUAAGUUAUUAUUGUUGUUAAAAUACAUCUGAAUAUUAUCUAGUUCGGGUGGACAAUAUACACCCAGAAUGGACACUGGUCCUGAAACUGUCGACACUACAAUAGCGACACUUUGAAUAUCCUGAUAAAAUGCUGUUUUGAUAGUUUUGUAUUGAAGGGUAUUUUUUCUUAUGAAUAUACCUACAUCACCAUGCUCGUUUUGUGCAUUUUUUUCAAUGUAAUUGUACCCGGUUAUAUUAACAGAAGGACUAGAUUUUUAAAGCCAAGUUUCAUUGAGUAGACACAAAUCUAUGGAAUUAUCUUUUAGUUUUCAGUAACCAUUUUUUAUUGUUUACGCUUUGAAUGUUAAAUUGCAUGAAUUUAA
Bombyx mandarina (wild silkworm) is the source of this 1023-nucleotide long non-coding RNA. Lineage: Eukaryota; Metazoa; Arthropoda; Insecta; Lepidoptera; Bombycidae. The record is from RefSeq and is a predicted model, not a curated record.